Molecule: long non-coding RNA, 226 nt
Filed under: Phascolarctos cinereus (koala)
Lineage: Eukaryota; Metazoa; Chordata; Mammalia; Diprotodontia; Phascolarctidae
Description: lncRNA (ENSPCIG00000011415.2)
Source: RNAcentral
GAGCAGGAAUAUGAUUGUAAGGUUUUUAUUCUUCUGUCUUAUUCAGGAUAUGGUACAACACCUAAGAUUACGCCUUUCAUGUCUAGGACAGCUUUGAGAAAAAGGAAUUCCUCACAGCAGGGAUUCUUUACAAAGUAUCAGUACCGAUGAGGUGACUCAGGGAAACCUUCCUAGGGUAAGCUAAAAGACCUUAACCUUUUUUGUAUCAGGGACUCCCUUGGCAAUC